Molecule: long non-coding RNA, 248 nt
Organism: Helianthus annuus (common sunflower)
Lineage: Eukaryota; Viridiplantae; Streptophyta; Magnoliopsida; Asterales; Asteraceae
Exons: 2
Source: RefSeq, a predicted model, not a curated record
UUAAAGAUUGUUAUAUUACUAUUGUUAUUAAAGUUACUCUAUGAAAACAGGUUAAGAAGAAAGGUAAAGUUACUUCUGAGAGAAAGGAGGUGGUCAAGAAUAGGACUAAGGGAAAUGCUGCUUUACCUGUCGACACAAGUAAUCAUAUUGGAUGUUCUUCAUCUGCUCAUAAAGUUAAGGGGAAGAGAGCCGCCAACGUUCAGAAAAAGCUUAACCGUAGAAAUAAGAUUGCAAAGACUGCAAAAAAA